GAGGCGAACCGGGGGAACUGAAACAUCUAAGUACCCCGAGGAAAAGAAAUCAACCGAGAUUCCGAAAGUAGCGGCGAGCGAAAUUGGACUAGCCCUUAAGCUUUACACGCGUUAGACGAACGGUCUGGAAAGUCCGACGAUACAGGGUGAUAGUCCCGUAGUUGACGACGUGUGUUCAGUGAAAUCGAGUAGGGCGGGACACGUGAUAUCCUGUCUGAAUAUGGGGGGACCAUCCUCCAAGGCUAAAUACUACUGACUGACCGAUAGUGAACCAGUACCGUGAGGGAAAGGCGAAAAGAACCCCUGUGAGGGGAGUGAAAUAGAACCUGAAACCGUGUACGUACAAGCAGUAGGAGCAGGCUUUGUCCUGUGACUGCGUACCUUUUGUAUAAUGGGUCAGCGACUUAUAUUCAGUGGCAAGGUUAACCAUCUAGGGGAGCCGUAGGGAAACCGAGUCUUAACUGGGCGUUCAGUCUCUGGAUAUAGACCCGAAACCAGGUGAUCUAGCCAUGGGCAGGUUGAAGGUUGAGUAACAUCAACUGGAGGACCGAACCGACUAAUGUUGAAAAAUUAGCGGAUGACUUGUGGCUAGGGGUGAAAGGCCAAUCAAACCUGGAGAUAGCUGGUUCUCCCCGAAAGCUAUUUAGGUAGCGCCUCGGACGAAUACUACUGGGGGUAGAGCACUGUUAAGGCUAGGGGGUCAUCCCGACUUACCAACCCUUUGCAAACUCCGAAUACCAGUAAGUACUAUCCGGGAGACACACGGCGGGUG
This 772-nucleotide ribosomal RNA is filed under the name Vibrio parahaemolyticus. Its description in RNAcentral is "partial 23S ribosomal RNA". It matches the Rfam family "Bacterial large subunit ribosomal RNA", at positions 176 to 997 of the family's 2925-position model. Lineage: Bacteria; Pseudomonadati; Pseudomonadota; Gammaproteobacteria; Vibrionales; Vibrionaceae. The record is from RNAcentral.